ACGUACAUGAAAGUUACACCAUUGGCUGC
RNAcentral lists this small RNA (29 nucleotides) under Bombyx mori (domestic silkworm). RNAcentral's name for it is "ovarian small RNA-11598". The record is from RNAcentral. Lineage: Eukaryota; Metazoa; Arthropoda; Insecta; Lepidoptera; Bombycidae.